UACGUAGGGUGCGAGCGUUAAUCGGAAUUACUGGGCGUAAAGCGUGCGCAGGCGGUUUUGUAAGACAGGUGUGAAAUCCCCGGGCUUAACCUGGGAACUGCAUUUGUGACUGCAAGACUAGAGUGUAGCAGAGGGGGGUAGAAUUCCACGUGUAGCAGUGAAAUGCGUAGAGAUGUGGAGGAAUACCGAUGGCGAAGGCAGCCCCCUGGGCUAACACUGACGCUCAUGCACGAAAGCGUGGGGAGCAAACAGG
Molecule: ribosomal RNA, 253 nt
Filed under: uncultured bacterium
Lineage: Bacteria
Description: partial 16S ribosomal RNA
Rfam family: Bacterial small subunit ribosomal RNA
Source: RNAcentral